UUUUUACAUAACAAUGAGAUAGUUUUUUCAUGGUCAUUUAUUUUUUCAAAGAACCCCCUUUUUUUUUCAUUUACCGAAUUUUCUCAAUUUUCUUUCCUUUGUGAGUAAUUUUGUCCCAAAAAAGGACCUGAUUUGGAUGCUGCUGUCGCUGUAAUCGCGUUCUUUCUUUGAAUGCCGAUGAGAGGUGGAAGCACUGCUUUGUUACGCAUGCGUCUUCCUUCCACUCCUACUCACAAAGGUACUCUUCUAUUCAGUUCCUCUUCCUCAAUCAACACUUCGUUUUUAUUAUUAUUAGGGCUCCAUAAUUCCAUGGACAAUAAUCAAUUAUCCUUAAAUUCAAAUCCGAAAUCGCUUUCAACCACACCUGCAAAAUCUGAUCGAAUUGGUAAAACCAUCGAUAACCUCGAUGAUGAUGAGUUCUCGUUUCAUCAAAUGAUCCAUAAGAAGCCUCUGCCAUUGUUAAGCGAAUUCAACAGAUUCCUUGUAGUAAUUGUGAAGAAGAAGCGUUACUCCACAGCGAUUUCAUUGAUCAAUCAAAUGUUGUUCUUGCGAAUAUCCGUUGACGCGUAUAUGAUGAACAUUGCGAUAAAUUGUUUCUCUCAUUUACGAAGAAUCGAUCUAGGGUUUGCUAUGUUGGGUUGCAUUGUUAAAUAUGGUCAUGAACCACUUGUGUCUACUUAUAAUACUCUAUUAAAAGGUUUAGUGUUAUCAGAUAAGGCUUUUGAGGCUGAACAUUUGUUCAAGAAGCUGAUCAAAGAGAAAAUCUGCGAACCCAAUGAAGUUACAUAUGGGACAAUCAUGAAUGGGAUUUGUAAAGCUGGAAACACUAAAAUCGCCAUUGAAUUACUUAGAUUUAUGGAGAAAAGAGGUUGUAAACCUAACAAGGAAGUAUACACCACAAUCAUAGAUAGUUUUUGCAAGGAGAAAAAGAUGGAUGAUGCUUUAAAACUCCUCACAGAAAUGAUUGACAAAAGAGUUUCUCCAAAUGUCAUUACUUACAAUUCCUUGAUUUAUGGUCUGUGUAGUGUAAACAGAUGGGAAAAAGCCAAGGAAAUGAUUAUAGAAAUGGAUAAAAGAAAGAUCAAUCCUGAUGUGUUUACUUUCAAUACAUUUAUAGAUGCAUUUUGUAAAGAAGGAAUGGUGGAAGAAGCUGAAAGUGUUCUUCAUGUCAUGAUAGAAAGAGGUGAAAAACCAGAUGUUGUCACUUAUAGUUCAUUAAUUGAUGGGUAUUGUUUGAGAGGUGAAAUGAAGAAAGCCAUGAGAGUUUUCAACAUCAUGAUUGAUAAAAAAAUCAAACCCAACAUUAUCACUUUGAACACCUUAAUAAAUGGGCAUUGUAAAAGAUCAAACAUAGAUGAAGCAAUGAAACUUUUCAAGGAGAUAACUCAUACGAACUUAGAACCCACAGUUUCAACUUAUAGCACUAUUUUAUACGGAUUGUUUAAGGUAGGAAGAUGUGAAGAUGCUCUAAAACUAUUCGAAGAUAUGCAAUUUAUACCCCUAACUCCAAAUUUCAUCACGUAUUCAGUCUUAUUAGAUGGACUAUGCAAAAACAAUAGAGUCAAUGAAGCAUUAUCUUUCUUUCGUGAUAUAAUGAAGAAAGGUGUAAAUCCUAAUGUUGCUAUGUACACUGUUCUUAUUGAUGGUAGUUGUAAAAAUGGGAAGCUUGAUGUAGCUUUAGAUCUUUUUAGUGAAAUGUGUUCAAAAGGUUUGCAACCGAAUAUUGUGACAUAUAAUGCUAUGAAUAAUGGGUUUUGUAUAGAGGGAAUGAUUGAUGAAGCGAAAGAACUUGUUAUAAAAAUGGAGAAAAAUGGUGUUUUUCCAAAUAGUUCAACUUAUAACAUUCUUCUUCAAGGGAUUGUGAAGUGGAGAAAACCUAAAGAUGUGUUGUUACAUUUGAAGGAAAUGGAUGCAAAAGGGUUUUCGUUUGAUGCAUCUUCGUUUUAUUUGCUACUUCAUAUGAUUCAAACAAAAAAACAAGAUUCUAACUUUGUUGAAUUGAUUAGGAAACUUGCACCACAAGAUAUAUUGAAAUAUAAAUUCCGAUUAGCGAAAUAGCAUGUUCAGUUUCUACUUUUCCAAUGGUCAUGUAGAACUGUUAAAAGGGUAAAUGAGUCAUUUGCUGUAAAUCUGUAAUGCAAUUGAGAGAUUUGCUUGAGAUGUAGCUUCUGAAAAACCCAAACAUAGAGGAUUAUAAGGGUUGAGGUUAAAAAAUUUGGAUGAUAACGACACGAGGGCAUUUAUGUCUUUUGCCACCUUUUUGGAAGAGACAAAAAGUUGCAAACCGUAUUAUAUUGUGGCAUACAAAACAAAUGGGGUAAAAUGGCAUUUGAAAGUUUUAAUGGGAGUCGCUUUGUACAUGGUGAAGGGAUGGUUAUAUAGAAAGUGGAAAUAAACUUAAAGGUUGCAAUGAAGAAAUGGUCAAUGUCAUAAAAUAGUAACCCAAUUUUAUAUUUUGUUAUGCUUAGAUAACUCAAAUAUUUUUAAGAGUUUCAACCACUAGAUUUUCAAUUUUGGUCGAUAUUAAAAAAAAUUUGUUCACAUGUUUCGCUUUUGAGGAAUUUUGUAAUAUGUUUUAUCUUUUACAAAUUAAUGUAUGUGUAAAUUUUUUAGA
Lactuca sativa (garden lettuce) is the source of this 2614-nucleotide RNA transcript. RefSeq lists it as uncharacterized. The record is from RefSeq and is a predicted model, not a curated record. Lineage: Eukaryota; Viridiplantae; Streptophyta; Magnoliopsida; Asterales; Asteraceae.